This 492-nucleotide ribosomal RNA is filed under the name uncultured bacterium. Its description in RNAcentral is "partial 16S ribosomal RNA". It matches the Rfam family "Bacterial small subunit ribosomal RNA", at positions 29 to 507 of the family's 1533-position model. The record is from RNAcentral.
AGUGAACGCUGGCGGUAGGCCUAACACAUGCAAGUCGAACGGCAGCACAGUAAGAGCUUGCUCUUACGGGUGGCGAGUGGCGGACGGGUGAGGAAUACAUCGGAAUCUACUUUUUCGUGGGGGAUAACGUAGGGAAACUUACGCUAAUACCGCAUACGACCUACGGGUGAAAGCAGGGGAUCUUCGGACCUUGCGCGAUUGAAUGAGCCGAUGUCGGAUUAGCUAGUUGGCGGGGUAAAGGCCCACCAAGGCGACGAUCCGUAGCUGGUCUGAGAGGAUGAUCAGCCACACUGGAACUGGGACACGGUCCAGACUCCUACGGGAGGCAGCAGUGGGGAAUAUUGGACAAUGGGCGCAAGCCUGAUCCAGCCAUACCGCGUGGGCGAAGAAGGCCUUCGGGAUGUAAAGCCCUUUUGUUGGGAAAGAAAAGCAGCAGGUUAAUACCCCGCUGUUCUGACGGUACCCAAAGAAUAAGCACCGGCUAACUUCGUG